AAAUUGUUGCAGUCUUCAUCUUCAUCAUCCUCUAGCACAACAGCUAAGUGUUUUUCAUUACCAUGAAUGAACCCUCCGCUAUGGAAACUGAGUUGCACAUCUUCAGAUCUAGCCACUCGUGAUCCUUGUUGGAAAUCCAACCCGACUCUACUCUUGUUGUCGGAGACCUCUACCAUAUGUCCCCACUGAUCAGACUAACCAUCUUCAAUAAUUUUCAGCUUACCAUUCUUGACAAACUUCAAUUUCUGAUUGAAAGUUGAAGUAACGACUCCUGCCUC
RNAcentral lists this long non-coding RNA (278 nucleotides) under Lathyrus oleraceus (garden pea). RNAcentral's name for it is "Pisum sativum (pea) long non-coding RNA (PSAT_LNC019158)". The record is from RNAcentral. Lineage: Eukaryota; Viridiplantae; Streptophyta; Magnoliopsida; Fabales; Fabaceae.